This is a non-coding RNA of Pelobates cultripes (western spadefoot toad), 244 nucleotides long. Lineage: Eukaryota; Metazoa; Chordata; Amphibia; Anura; Pelobatidae. The record is from the annotation of a GenBank genome assembly.
CCAAGAAUGAGACAAGGCUCUGUUUUGAGGGUCAAGCAGUGAACAGACAUAGCUGUGGGUUUAUUGUUCUUAUGUACACAUUCUUACACAUUAGUACCACCCACAGGGUUUUGGAAAACAACCAAUAAACACGUACAAUACACUCAGACACUCCCACACAAAAUUACCUUUCACAAUGGGUGAUGUAAUUAUCACAGCCAGAGAAAUACAGUUUUUCCACAUUAUUCAUAACUUGAAAAGUAUG